AUGACACAAAUAACCAACCUAUUAUCCUUGACGAAACAAUGUACAAAAACUCCAGAGUUCCUCAACAACGCCUCACGAAGCAUCAUAGAGGCAAGAUUAAAGCCGGAGGACUUUUUAUUCGAUAUGACACCGACAUCACCCUCGAAGCGCCGUCGCCUUGACCCGCAAUCUACUACCCAAAGGACGAGAAAAGAUGAUCCCAUCCCCUUCACUCAGGAUGCCAGAGUGAGCGCUGUCACCUUAGAUUUUUUUUGGCAGCUAGGGUUUCUUCUUCAUGAUAGGAGGACCUACGGAAAACCAAUGAUGUGCUCCUUGAAAACGUGGCAAGUGCAGCGCCAGGAGAACAGAAUUUGUUCCCUUGUUCCAAUUUCCAUCCAAGAGGAAAAAACAAAAGAGAAGCAUCUUCAUCACGGGCUAGACAGAGUAAGUGGCUGCCCUUCCUCGCGUCGGAUAAACGCGUCAAACAAAAUCAAUGAAUAUUCCUCCUCUGAAAGCAAUAAUAAAGAAAGUGCCAACUACAUUCCAAAAGAAACGCGCUGA
This 540-nucleotide ribosomal RNA is filed under the name Triticum aestivum (bread wheat). Its description in RNAcentral is "partial small subunit ribosomal RNA". The record is from RNAcentral. Lineage: Eukaryota; Viridiplantae; Streptophyta; Magnoliopsida; Poales; Poaceae.